GUUUUUUAUUAAAUUGUCCGCAGCAGCCAUCGUAACUCAAACCAACUCCCUCCAAGGAGAGCCUCGAUCUACCGUAUGUCCCCAGAGGGACCCGCGGGCCAGAAAUAAGAGGAGCGUGCAGGUGUGAAUCCUUGAGAGCUGUGAAAUGUGGCAAUGUAAACUGCGCACCAGAGGAAUCUACCGAGUGUGGGCCCACCACUCGUUGGGACAGGAAUUGGGUCAGGUCCCUGUCUCUGGGGACGUGGAAUGUCACCUCUCUGCUGGGGAAGGAAUCGGAGACGGAGAGGAAACAGGUGAUUGGACACAGCAGACAAUCACACUCACAGGGGGAAAACACACCAGGGAAGGAAGUGAAGAUUAACCCGCAAACACCAAAGGCAGGAAACGACAAAAUAAAACAGGAAAUGAUCCAACACUGGCACACAUACUUAAGCUACCCCGGAGAGGUGAAGCAAUCCAAAGUAGACAAAUCCUUCACAACCAGUGUGCCACGCCGAGAGAAUAUUCCAAAAAAGAGCAUAGAAGUGACAAUGACGAAUGGCCUAUUUGCCAUCGGGAGCAUCAGGACAUUUUGUGGCGUAUGUUGA
This is a long non-coding RNA of Gasterosteus aculeatus aculeatus (three-spined stickleback), 587 nucleotides long. The record is from Ensembl. NCBI's taxonomy places the organism in Eukaryota, Metazoa, Chordata, Actinopteri, Perciformes, Gasterosteidae.